Molecule: ribosomal RNA, 1206 nt
Filed under: Dikwa sp. MLV-2016
Lineage: Eukaryota; Metazoa; Arthropoda; Malacostraca; Amphipoda; Dikwidae
Description: partial 28S ribosomal RNA
Rfam family: Eukaryotic large subunit ribosomal RNA
Source: RNAcentral
ACAGCCCAGCGCAUAACCUCCCGGGCUACCAAGCCUGCGGCGGGAUGUUGCGUUAAGGGAAAGGUCGAUUCAAAGCCCCGCACCCACCAUACUCUAAGUAUGGUUUGAAUUUCCACUGUAUCCUAACGGCUGCAAAGGCUCCACAGAGGGUGUAAGACCCGUGUGAGUGCGUGGUUAUUUGUGCGCGGGUUCGGCUUUUAUUCCCUGAGAGUCGCGUUGCUUGAACUUGCAGCGCUAAGCAGGUCGUAAACUCGACCUAAGGCUAAAUAUUUUCACAGAACCGAUAGCAAACAAGUACCGUGAGGGAAAGUUGAAAAGGACUCUGAAGAGAGAGUUAAAAGACCGUGAAACCGCUUAGAGUAUAAGCCGAUGGUAUUCUGGAAGGCUGGAGCAAACCCUUUCCCCUGUGGGAGAAGGUUAUCGUGUGUGAUAGAAGAAGGUACGGUGGGGAAGAAAGUGGCAUUGAGUUGAUAACACGCCAACCAGAUCUCGCGGGUCUCUGACAGUGGUAACAGGGGACGUUCUAAUGAGGAACUGAACCGAGGCUGGGCUUGAGCGAGCGCCUACUUUGAGUCACACUAACGAAUUGCUUUAACACUGCCGCACCGCAAUCCUUUGUAAGGUCUCCCUCACGACCGGAGCAAUUGCCGCGUAGUCUGGAGGGGCGAAUUUUCUCUGUCACUAUGCUCGCGGGAACAGGAACGGCCGACUCGCGCGCAUAGCUGUUUGCCAAACGUGAGCGGAAUGAUCCUAUGCGAAGAUUGUUUCUGACCUGCCUAAACCCUGAACCUGGGUCUUACCGAAGAUUACGAAGUCCUCUGUCGCUGCUGGUCAGCCAUGAUUCGUGUACGUACCGUAGGGGGAGGCUGUUCGGUGUAUUAUUUCAGAGCCAUUGGUCACGUCUCGAAACACGGGCCAAGGAGCAUAGCAUGUGCGCAAGUCUAAGGGAUAUUGAAUCCUGGAGGCGAAGUGAAAGCAAAUGGUGUGUCCGUGGCGCUUUACUGCGCUGCGGACAGCUCGUGAUAGAGCGCAAUUCCUACGUGGAUGAAUGCGUCACCGACUUAAACCGGGUUGAUCCCUCGUAAUCAAGCCACCGUGGCGAUACGAAGGCGYAAACCCCAGGCUCUCUGAUAAGGGUAUGUAUCCUUGAGAGCACUGUUGAGCGUUCAUGCUAUAACCCGAAAGAUAGUGAACUAUGCCUGGCGA